RNAcentral lists this ribosomal RNA (441 nucleotides) under uncultured Desulfocapsa sp. RNAcentral's name for it is "bacterial SSU rRNA". It matches the Rfam family "Bacterial small subunit ribosomal RNA", at positions 945 to 1382 of the family's 1533-position model. Lineage: Bacteria; Pseudomonadati; Thermodesulfobacteriota; Desulfobulbia; Desulfobulbales; Desulfocapsaceae. The record is from RNAcentral.
UUUAAUUUCGACGCAACGCGCAGAACUUACCUGGUCUUGACAUCCCGGGAAUUCCUUGAAAGAGGGAAGUGCCUCGCAAGAGGAGCCUGGAGACAGGUGCUGCAUGGCUGUCGUCAGCUCGUGUCGUGAGAUGUUGGGUUAAGUCCCGCAACGAGCGCAACCCUUGUCUUUAGUUGCCAUCAUUCAGUUGGGCACUCUAAAGAGACUGCCGGUGUCAAAACCGGAGGAAGGUGGGGAUGACGUCAAGUCCUCAUGGCCUUUAUGCCUAGGGCUACACACGUGCUACAAUGGGCGGUACAAAGGGUCGCGAUCCCGCGAGGGGGAGCCAAUCCCAAAAAGCCGUCCCAAGUUCGGAUUGGAGUCUGCAACUCGACUCCAUGAAGCUGGAAUCGCUAGUAAUCGCGGAUCAGCAUGCCGCGGUCGAAUACGUUCCCGGGCCUU